AUCACCUGCACCCAAUCAGCCAGCAUCGCCUGCACCCAGUCAUCUAGCAUCACCUGCACCCAGUCAUCCAGCAUCACCUGCACCCAAUCGGCCAGCAUCACUUGCAUCCAGUCAGCCAGCAUCACCUGCACCCAAUCAGCAUCACCUGCACCCAAUCAGCUAACACCUGCACCCAAUCAGCCAGCAUCACCUGCACCCAAUCAGCCAGCAUCACCUGCACCCAAUCAGCAUCACCUGCACCCAAUCAGCCAACAUCACCUGCACCCAGUCAGCCAGCAUCACCUGCACCCAAUCAGCUAGCAUCACCUGCACGCAGUCAAUCAGCAUCACCUGCACCCAAUCAGCAUCACCUGCACCCAUUCAGCCAGCAUCACCUGCACCCAAUCAGCAUCACCUGCACCCAAUCAGCCAGCAACACCUGCACCCAGCCAGCAUCACCUGCACCCAAUCAAUCAGCAUCACCUGCACCCAAUCAGCCAGCAUCACCUCCACUUGGAAGCUGCCCCAACUUCCCUUUUCCACCAAGCCAAAUAAUCGCCCACCUCUACUUCUGUGGCAUCCUUUGCAUGCUACUAAUCAGUGUCUUCAUUGUCCUGAACUGCCCCCCAAC
RNAcentral lists this long non-coding RNA (610 nucleotides) under Homo sapiens (human). RNAcentral's name for it is "non-protein coding lnc-ABCG2-1:2". Lineage: Eukaryota; Metazoa; Chordata; Mammalia; Primates; Hominidae. The record is from RNAcentral.